Non-coding RNA from Mus caroli (Ryukyu mouse), 300 nucleotides. The record is from RefSeq and is a predicted model, not a curated record. Lineage: Eukaryota; Metazoa; Chordata; Mammalia; Rodentia; Muridae.
AGAUCGCCGCCAUCAUGGACACGAGUCGCGUGCAGCCCAUCAAGCUGGCUAGGGUAACCAAAGUGCUGGGCAGGACCGGUUCGCAGGGACAGUGCACGCAGGUGCGAGUGGAAUUUAUGGAUGACACCAGCCGCUCUAUCAUCCCAAAUGUCAAAGGCCCCGUUCGAGAGGGUGACGUGCUCACCCUAUUGGAGUCAGAAAGAGAAGCUCGAAGGUUGCGUUGAUCUUGCAGCUGGGUUCUGGAUAUCCACUACUUAGACCACGGAAUGAUCUGCAACUGUUAAAUAAAACAUUUAUAUU